ACUGGGGCUUCUUUUAUUUUUUUUUUUUUUUUGGGGGGGGGGCUUCUUUUAACUGAUAAUUCUACAAGCUCUUAAAGCUACUUGCCAUGCACUGUGACUUGGUGGAGUUAAUGGAAACUCAAACCUCCUUGUUUAAAAUAAAACCACUUGGGAAUGUUUGAGGAUUUCAUUACUCAAAAUUAUGUACGUGAAAAGCACUUUGUAAAUUGCAAAAUGCUACACAAAGAUUAAUUUAUUAAACUCAAAAUUUUGAAGAAAAACAGUCAUUUGGGAACCUAGAAUUUCUGAGAUUUCAAGCUCUGAGGGAUGUUUAGUUAAGUUUCCCAGAAAACCCUAAGGAAGGGGACACAGGGACCAGUAGGCACCACCUGUAUGAGACCAACUCCAGCCACAUCCAGCUUCAGGGGUUUCCGGUGUCUUCCCUGGGACCUGUGCCCUGCCUGUUUCUAGCCCUUCUCUCACCCAGACACCGAUUUUCUUUGCGAUGGAGGCCAAAGAACUUGCUGCUGAUGGCAUAACCCAGUCGUCCCACUCUGGUCCUGCUCCCUAUUUGCUUGGUGGGGAAGCAGUUGGUGUCUCAGAGGGAAAGCAAGUUGUGUUUACUAGAAGAACUUCCCUUGUGAUGUCCAGAUAUGAACUCAGUAUCCUG
Bos taurus (domestic cattle) is the source of this 649-nucleotide long non-coding RNA. The record is from Ensembl. Lineage: Eukaryota; Metazoa; Chordata; Mammalia; Artiodactyla; Bovidae.